This 2190-nucleotide long non-coding RNA is filed under the name Malus domestica (apple). RNAcentral describes it as "long non-coding RNA (MDOM_LNC011914)". Lineage: Eukaryota; Viridiplantae; Streptophyta; Magnoliopsida; Rosales; Rosaceae. The record is from RNAcentral.
AUAACAACUUUAAAGAAAGCUUGAUUUCAAUCUUGGAAGUUGGUGUCGCUUGCUCUGCGGAACUGCCUAGGGAGCGAAAGAACAUUAGUCAUGCUGUGGCUGAAAUGUGUCUGAUUAGAAGCAAACUUCGAGCAAGUUGAGAUAUAUGAAUUCGAGUAGAAGUACACUGUUGAUAUGCUACAUAUAGCAUGUAAUGUUAUUUCUUUAUAUCCAGAAUUUACAGGUCUAUUGAAGUUAAACUACAGUUCAAUCCUAAUUAGUAUUGUACUAGAAAAUAUGCCCGCGCUUUGCUGCAGGACCUUGAAUGCACCAGCCUUAUUUGCAUGAAUAAGACACAUUUAAACUGAAUAAAUUAAACAUAAUCUCGAUUGAACAUAGGGAUAGAUGAGUGACACAUUAUCUUGAUUUUUCUUGUAAAACUCAAAACUUACUGUCCAAAACCAAAUAAUUUGUACCAUAUGCAUGCUUGUGCAACAUAUGCGUUACACUAGAAAAACAUCAAAAAUCGAAUACAAAUUUGUAAAUCAUGGACGGAUUUUGUUUUACAUUUUUAUAAUCAAUUCAAGUGGCACUGUAGCACGUAAAAUUACAAACUUGAAUCAACCAGAGAGAGCAGAAAUUAAGAUGUAAAUAUAUCCUCAAACUUGCAACAUACUGUAUGGAAGCUAACCUUAGAGGUUUGUGAAGCAAACUGCGGCAUGAGUUGCAGUCAAUUGAACAAAAGCAUAGUAGUUUAACUGAAAAAUGCAUGAUGAAAUGGAUUCAUAGUUUUAAUUCAUGACACAACCCUAUAUUAUUCAAACUUAAUAUCAUUCCACAAAGUGAAAUUAUAAUGCUUACUUGUUGCAGAGAGGGCUAUGCCACAAUGAAGGCAUAUGGCGAAACUUAGUAACCUGUAGCAUUCAAUGCACUUUGUAGCUGAUAUGAUUUUGCCUAUCUGAUGGCAUCUGCUAACACAAAAAAGGCCACAAAAGGGAUGCCAAGUCUACUUUGAUUCUUAUGUCAUGCGAUAAAUAGAAUAGAUAAAUGAUGUUUUCCAUAUCAAUAGCAUACCGAGAAAUGUAAAGGACACAACACAGUAGCUUACAAAUUCAAAAGAUUAAAUGAACUAUAAAUGGACCAGUGGUUAAUCGAACAAAUUCAAUACAACUGAAUCACAUUCUAAUUUUAAGCUAAGAACUAUAUUGCCAAGAAAAGUGCCCAUAUUGCUGUGAAUGUAAGAAAAAUGAGUUAGCACUAUCCGCUGCUCAUUUUGCUAAAUGAAACGCCUAGAAUCUAUUCAUUUCAAGUAAAAAUCCAGAACAGGAAGAUGGACAUAUCGGACGUUGACAAGUGAUUAAAUUGCCACCUUAACAAUCGAUUUAACCUAUGUCUACAAGUAUCAAAUUCAAUCUUGGAUAAAAAUAAAGUUGCUGAUGAGAUAACUGAUUCCUGAUGUGAGUCAUCACUUCUACUUUUUAUGGCAAUGAUUACUUAAAGUUCUCAUGCAUAUUCAAUUGAUCAAUAAUAUUGACAAUAUAUCCAUCAUUUCAGAAGGGUCAUUACUAAACAUCUACAAAUUUAUUAAGCCCCAGGCUUCCAGUUAUCAAACUACAGGUAACCACGGAUUAAUAGAUGUUUAGUAAUGACCCUCUUGAAGCUCUUUAUCAAUAUCUAUGCAUGUGAAGUUAAGAAAGGCAUGAAGAAACUGGAGUCAAGACAAAAUUAAUUUUAAUUUAAGAAUUUGAACAAUGAACCUUGAAUUAGUACACUUGGUGAUAUGUAUUCCAUGUUCCAUCAAGACCACUCUGAACAAAUGCGAGAUUUUGGCAUGGAUUCUUCAUUCCCAUUCUCACUUUUAGCUUGGCAUCUAUUGCUCUGUUUAACAUGCAACAUUUUAUGUAUUAAUAUAACAUGUAUAUAAAAAGAUAGGUAACAUAUUGCACUGUGUGUAUAUAAUGUAAUAUUUUUCUUAUACCAAAAAAUAGUUGGCAAAUGACACAUUCAACCUGCAGAUAUAAGUUCUAUUCAAGUUUAUACCAAAUUCAUAUAACAUUUCCAAGUAAAUUUAUACAUAAUUUGUUUAAAAAUAAACAAAAAUUUUAGCGAGUUGGGCUAAAAUACUGCAAUUACUCAAAGUCGAAAAAGCAUGGAAAAAAGGUAGUCAGCUCAGCAUAAUAUAAAAUUUUCAAGCUUUGAAUUGCCUUGUUC